Long non-coding RNA from Melanotaenia boesemani (Boeseman's rainbowfish), 872 nucleotides. RefSeq lists it as uncharacterized. Lineage: Eukaryota; Metazoa; Chordata; Actinopteri; Atheriniformes; Melanotaeniidae. The record is from RefSeq and is a predicted model, not a curated record. The transcript has 2 exons.
GGACAAUCAUCCAAUGAGAACUGAGCAAAACCUCACACCAAAUCAGCUUUGGGAAGUAGGACAGAUGGUGCAUCCAGUUGUUGACCCAGAGGAGGUGCAAAUUCCCUACAUACAGUGGGAGGACAGUGGUUUUCUUCCUGAUCCACAUGCCGAAGUGCGGGUACCAGAACUGGGCAGCCCACUCACAGACGAGCAAAUGGAGCUGCUGCGGGAACACAUUAACCCUCUACAACCUUCAGAGUCUAGUGGCAUGGACAUUUACUUGCAUACAGUGCAGUAUGUGGAAUCAUUACUUGAGACAAGUUAGAUGCUAUGUAGAUUGCAUUAUGUUGUUAAUGAUGAAAGCAUUUCCCCAACUAUUUGUUUAAAAAGGCCAUUUGCAUAAGUAUACCCAUAGAUUGACUACUGCAAAAGCAAAUAAAUAAAUAACAAUAUGCUUUAAUUAGUAACUACAUUGAUCUUUUGCAUUAGAGACUGAUGGAAAAAACUUUCUAAACAUGUAUGCCAACAUCACUGAAAACUUUAAUAUGUAAAUAAAAUUAAUUUCACAGUGAACUUCCAGAUGUUGAUUGUUUCCAGCUUUCUUGGUAGUAAAGAAUUCAGCUUCCUACAUAUCACCUGUGAAAGUUGAGUGUGAGACAAAGGCAUAUUUCAGUAUGGACAGAAAAACACAAUAAAAAUAUUUACUGAAUGGACUUUAAUGUACACCUCAAUGCACAGAAGGGGCAGAUUAACCAUUUUUAUGAUUGCCCCAAACUUUUUUGGAAACUCAACAAAUUGGCCACAGAGUUAAAUGGGUGGUUGAGAAAUCUUUCUAGCUCAAAAAGUUUUAAGUACUUCAAAUAGGUACUUCCAGGAAUAUACAUUUUUCA